Molecule: ribosomal RNA, 1013 nt
Filed under: Salmonella enterica
Lineage: Bacteria; Pseudomonadati; Pseudomonadota; Gammaproteobacteria; Enterobacterales; Enterobacteriaceae
Also listed under: 1 other name
Description: partial 23S ribosomal RNA
Rfam family: Bacterial large subunit ribosomal RNA
Source: RNAcentral
GAUUCGUCACACUAUCAUUAACUGAAUCCAUAGGUUAAUGAGGCGAACCGGGGGAACUGAAACAUCUAAGUACCCCGAGGAAAAGAAAUCAACCGAGAUUCCCCCAGUAGCGGCGAGCGAACGGGGAGGAGCCCAGAGCCUGAAUCAGCAUGUGUGUUAGUGGAAGCGUCUGGAAAGGCGCGCGAUACAGGGUGACAGCCCCGUACACAAAAGCGCAUGUGCUGUGAGCUCGAUGAGUAGGGCGGGACACGUGGUAUCCUGUCUGAAUAUGGGGGGACCAUCCUCCAAGGCUAAAUACUCCUGACUGACCGAUAGUGAACCAGUACCGUGAGGGAAAGGCGAAAAGAACCCCGGCGAGGGGAGUGAAAAAGAACCUGAAACCGUGUACGUACAAGCAGUGGGAGCACCCUUCGGGGUGUGACUGCGUACCUUUUGUAUAAUGGGUCAGCGACUUAUAUUCUGUAGCAAGGUUAACCGUAUAGGGGAGCCGGAGGGAAACCGAGUCUUAAUUGGGCGUUAAGUUGCAGGGUAUAGACCCGAAACCCGGUGAUCUAGCCAUGGGCAGGUUGAAGGUUGGGUAACACUAACUGGAGGACCGAACCGACUAAUGUUGAAAAAUUAGCGGAUGACCUGUGGCUGGGGGUGAAAGGCCAAUCAAACCGGGAGAUAGCUGGUUCUCCCCGAAAGCUAUUUAGGUAGCGCCUCGUGAAUUCAUCUCCGGGGGUAGAGCACUGUUUCGGCUAGGGGGCCAUCCCGGCUUACCAACCCGAUGCAAACUGCGAAUACCGGAGAAUGUUAUCACGGGAGACACACGGCGGGUGCUAACGUCCGUCGUGAAGAGGGAAACAACCCAGACCGCCAGCUAAGGUCCCAAAGUCAUGGUUAAGUGGGAAACGAUGUGGGAAGGCCCAGACAGCCAGGAUGUUGGCUUAGAAGCAGCCAUCAUUUAAAGAAAGCGUAAUAGCUCACUGGUCGAGUCGGCCUGCGCGGAAGAUGUAACGGGGCUAAACCAU